This 654-nucleotide ribosomal RNA is filed under the name uncultured bacterium. RNAcentral's name for it is "bacterial SSU rRNA". It matches the Rfam family "Bacterial small subunit ribosomal RNA", at positions 202 to 842 of the family's 1533-position model. The record is from RNAcentral.
GAAAGAUGGCUUUAGCUAUCACUCUGGGAUGGACCUGCGGUGCAUUAGCUAGUUGGUAAGGUAACGGCUUACCAAGGCGAUGAUGCAUAGCCGAGUUGAGAGACUGAUCGGCCACAAUGGAACUGAGACACGGUCCAUACUCCUACGGGAGGCAGCAGUAGGGAAUCUUCCACAAUGGGCGCAAGCCUGAUGGAGCAACACCGCGUGAGUGAAGAAGGGUUUCGGCUCGUAAAGCUCUGUUGUUGGAGAAGAACGUGCGUGAGAGUAACUGUUCACGCAGUGACGGUAUCCAACCAGAAAGUCACGGCUAACUACGUGCCAGCAGCCGCGGUAAUACGUAGGUGGCAAGCGUUAUCCGGAUUUAUUGGGCGUAAAGCGAGCGCAGGCGGUUGCUUAGGUCUGAUGUGAAAGCCUUCGGCUUAACCGAAGAAGUGCAUCGGAAACCGGGCGACUUGAGUGCAGAAGAGGACAGUGGAACUCCAUGUGUAGCGGUGGAAUGCGUAGAUAUAUGGAAGAACACCAGUGGCGAAGGCGGCUGUCUGGUCUGCAACUGACGCUGAGGCUCGAAAGCAUGGGUAGCGAACAGGAUUAGAUACCCUGGUAGUCCAUGCCGUAAACGAUGAGUGCUAGGUGUUGGAGGGUUUCCGCCCUUCA